UACGUAGGUGGCAAGCGUUGUCCGGAUUUACUGGGCGUAAAGAGCGCGCAGGCGGUCGUUCAAGUCGAGUGUGAAAGCCCCCGGCUCAACUGGGGAGGGUCACUCGAUACUGAUCGACUCGAAGGCAGAAGAGGGAAGCGGAAUUCCCGGUGUAGUGGCGAAAUGCGUAGAUAUCGGGAGGAACACCAGUGGCGAAGGCGGCUUUCUGGUCUGCUCUUGACGCUGAGGAGCGAAAGCCAGGGGAGCAAACGGG
RNAcentral lists this ribosomal RNA (253 nucleotides) under uncultured bacterium. RNAcentral describes it as "partial 16S ribosomal RNA". It matches the Rfam family "Bacterial small subunit ribosomal RNA", at positions 524 to 776 of the family's 1533-position model. The record is from RNAcentral.